AUUGAACGCUGGCGGCAGGCCUAACACAUGCAAGUCGAGCGGCAGCGGGAAAGUAGCUUGCUACUUUUGCCGGCGAGCGGCGGACGGGUGAGUAAUGCCUGGGAAAUUGCCCAGUCGAGGGGGAUAACAGUUGGAAACGACUGCUAAUACCGCAUACGCCCUACGGGGGAAAGCAGGGGACCUUCGGGCCUUGCGCGAUUGGAUAUGCCCAGGUGGGAUUAGCUAGUUGGUGAGGUAAUGGCUCACCAAGGCGACGAUCCCUAGCUGGUCUGAGAGGAUGAUCAGCCACACUGGAACUGAGACACGGUCCAGACUCCUACGGGAGGCAGCAGUGGGGAAUAUUGCACAAUGGGGGAAACCCUGAUGCAGCCAUGCCGCGUGUGUGAAGAAGGCCUUCGGGUUGUAAAGCACUUUCAGCGAGGAGGAAAGGUCAGUAGCUAAUAUCUGCUGGCUGUGACGUUACUCGCAGAAGAAGCACCGGCUAACUACGUG
Molecule: ribosomal RNA, 492 nt
Filed under: uncultured bacterium
Lineage: Bacteria
Description: partial 16S ribosomal RNA
Rfam family: Bacterial small subunit ribosomal RNA
Source: RNAcentral